AUUGAACGCUGGCGGCAGGCCUAACACAUGCAAGUCGAACGGUAACAGGAAGCAGCUUGCUGCUUUGCUGACGAGUGGCGGACGGGUGAGUUAUGUCUGGGAAACUGCCCGAUGGAGGGGGAUAACUACUGGAAACGGUAGCUAAUACCGCAUAACGUCGCAAAACCAAAGAGGGGGACCUUAGGGCCUCUUGCCAUCGGAUGUGCCCAGAUGGGAUUAGCUAGUAGGUGGGGUAACGGCUCACCUAGGCGACGAACCCUAGCUGGUCUGAGAGGAUGACCAGCCACACUGGAACUGAGACACGGUCCAGACUCCUACGGGAGGCAGCAGUGGGGAAUAUUGCACAACGGGCGCAAGCCUGAUGCAGCCAUGCCGCGUGUAUGAAGAAGGCCUUCGGAUUGUAAAGUACUUUCAGCGGGGAGGAAGGGAGGAAAGUUAAUACCUUGGCUCAUUGACGUUACCCGCAGAAGAAGCACCGGCUAACUCCGUG
This 490-nucleotide ribosomal RNA is filed under the name uncultured bacterium. RNAcentral's name for it is "partial 16S ribosomal RNA". It matches the Rfam family "Bacterial small subunit ribosomal RNA", at positions 30 to 507 of the family's 1533-position model. The record is from RNAcentral.